UUUUAUUGAAGCUUCGGCAGAUUUAGCUGGUUUCUAGUGGCGGACGGGUGAGUAACGCGUGGGUAACCUGCCUUAUACAGGGGGAUAACAACCAGAAAUGGUUGCUAAUACCGCAUAAGCGCACAGGACCGCAUGGUCCGGUGUGAAAAACUCCGGUGGUAUAAGAUGGACCCGCGUUGGAUUAGCUAGUUGGCAGGGUAACGGCCUACCAAGGCGACGAUCCAUAGCCGGCCUGAGAGGGUGAACGGCCACAUUGGGACUGAGACACGGCCCAGACUCCUACGGGAGGCAGCAGUGGGGAAUAUUGCACAAUGGGGGAAACCCUGAUGCAGCGACGCCGCGUGAAGGAAGAAGUAUCUCGGUAUGUAAACUUCUAUCAGCAGGGAAGAUAGUGACGGUACCUGACUAAGAAGCCCCGGCUAACUACGUGCCAGCAGCCGCGGUAAUGCGUAGGGGGCAAGCGUUAUCCGGAUUUACUGGGUGUAAAGGGAGCGUAGACGGACUGGCAAGUCUGAUGUGAAAGGCGGGGGCUCAACCCCUGGACUGCAUUGGAAACUGUUAGUCUUGAGUGCCGGAGAGGUAAGCGGAAUUCCUAGUGUAGCGGUGAAAUGCGUAGAUAUUAGGAGGAACACCAGUGGCGAAGGCGGCUUACUGGACGGUAACUGACGUU
RNAcentral lists this ribosomal RNA (670 nucleotides) under uncultured Lachnospiraceae bacterium. Its description in RNAcentral is "bacterial SSU rRNA". It matches the Rfam family "Bacterial small subunit ribosomal RNA", at positions 62 to 747 of the family's 1533-position model. Lineage: Bacteria; Bacillati; Bacillota; Clostridia; Lachnospirales; Lachnospiraceae. The record is from RNAcentral.